AAGCAAUCGCCAACAAAAACAGCUAACACUGCGACGAGUUACCAACUUACACCCUUCUUUUAAAGGCUGAGAACAUGAUAGUUCCAAUUUGCUGCAUGGUCAUCUAUAAUGAUUGAGUUGGUUUGCCAAUAAAUGGGGGACUUACGAAUUAGAGACAUGGGAAGGUUGCAAAAUAACUAGAAACUCCUACUGAUUAAUGUAUCAGCACCUUGUGGCUUUCUCCAGCCUCCUUCGGCAGUCCUCUCAAAUAUGCGUGGCUGCUUCAUAGGAAAGGUUUCUCUCCAAUCUGGGUGUUUG
RNAcentral lists this long non-coding RNA (297 nucleotides) under Malus domestica (apple). Its description in RNAcentral is "long non-coding RNA (MDOM_LNC002259)". Lineage: Eukaryota; Viridiplantae; Streptophyta; Magnoliopsida; Rosales; Rosaceae. The record is from RNAcentral.